CGAGCGUCGAUGGUAUUCCGUGCCGCGGGAAUUAUUAUUAUUUUUUUUUAUUUUUAUUGUUUUUCUACGUUAUAUACCUACCUAUAUACGCGCGGUAGCCGGUUACGCACACGCGGCCGUCUACACAUUCAAUAAGUAUAAAGACACUCGCACCAAUGACGUCAAUGGUGACCUUAAUGACAGAUGCGGCCGACAUAACGCACACAGCUCCAUAAUCUCCUUCUCCGUA
Molecule: non-coding RNA, 229 nt
Organism: Cinara cedri
Lineage: Eukaryota; Metazoa; Arthropoda; Insecta; Hemiptera; Aphididae
Source: the annotation of a GenBank genome assembly